This 643-nucleotide ribosomal RNA is filed under the name uncultured Actinomycetes bacterium. RNAcentral's name for it is "bacterial SSU rRNA". It matches the Rfam family "Bacterial small subunit ribosomal RNA", at positions 232 to 885 of the family's 1533-position model. Lineage: Bacteria; Bacillati; Actinomycetota; Actinomycetes. The record is from RNAcentral.
CGCGGCCUAUCAGCUUGUUGGUGGGGUAAUGGCCUACCAAGGCGACGACGGGUAGCCGGCCUGAGAGGGCGACCGGCCACACUGGGACUGAGACACGGCCCAGACUCCUACGGGAGGCAGCAGUGGGGAAUAUUGCACAAUGGGCGGAAGCCUGAUGCAGCGACGCCGCGUGAGGGAUGACGGCCUUCGGGUUGUAAACCUCUUUCAGUAGGGACGAAGCGCAAGUGACGGUACCUACAGAAGAAGCACCGGCCAACUACGUGCCAGCAGCCGCGGUAAUACGUAGGGUGCGAGCGUUGUCCGGAUUUACUGGGCGUAAAGAGCUCGUAGGCGGUUUGUCACGUCGUCUGUGAAAACCCGAGGCUUAACCUCGGGCCUGCAGGCGAUACGGGCAGACUUGAGUACUGUAGGGGAGACUGGAAUUCCUGGUGUAGCGGUGGAAUGCGCAGAUAUCAGGAGGAACACCGGUGGCGAAGGCGGGUCUCUGGGCAGUAACUGACGCUGAGGAGCGAAAGCGUGGGUAGCGAACAGGAUUAGAUACCCUGGUAGUCCACGCCGUAAACGGUGGGUACUAGGUGUGGGUUUCCUUCCACGGGAUCCGUGCCGUAGCUAACGCAUUAAGUACCCCGCCUGGGGAGUACGG